CGUCGAAUUCCGACGUACGGUCCUAAAGUUACGCCAAGAACGGAUAAUUACGACUUAAAGCAUUUGAUCGCGCGUACACAUGCAGCUGCGAUCAUACCAACACUAAUGCACCGGAUCCCAUCAGAACUUCGCAGUUAAGCGUGCUUGGGCGAGAGUAGUACUAGGAUGGGUGACCUCCUAGGAAGUCCUCGUGUUGCACCUCU
Molecule: small RNA, 203 nt
Filed under: Lupinus albus (white lupine)
Lineage: Eukaryota; Viridiplantae; Streptophyta; Magnoliopsida; Fabales; Fabaceae
Source: RNAcentral